AUGGCAGAUUUGAAGCAAAUACGGAAGCCUGUUGGCAGGUCAGUGGCAGCACCAACUAUUCGCCCAGCUACUUGGCAGUCGCCACCGGAGAAUCAUGUUAAAAUUAAUGUUGAUGCGGCAGUGUCGCGUGCAUGUGAAUUUGGGGCUGUGGGAGCCAUUUGCCGCGAUGCAUCAGGGGUGUAUUAGGGGUCCUCGGCAGUUAUAUUCAACAACAUAGAAGAUCCAGAGGUUUUGGAAGUCCUAGCUACCAGGGAAGCACCGGCGCUUGCCGAGGACCUGUACGAGCAUAAAGUUUUCAUCGCCUCGGACUGCAUGGUAGCGGUGGAGGCGAUUAGAGGAGGAACAACAGCAUCGUACGGAGCACUGGUGCAUGAAAUAACGGAGAGAGCUCGUUUUUUCACUUCUUGCAUUUUUAGUCAUGAAUUUCGGACCUCGAACUUUGAGGCCCACAACCUCGCGAAGCAUGCGUUAACGUUGGGGACUGUCCGUCAUGUUUGGUUAGGCCACCCCCCGCGAUCUUUUGUUCAUCCUUGUAAACAUUGUGACGGUUGA
Molecule: ribosomal RNA, 552 nt
Filed under: Triticum aestivum (bread wheat)
Lineage: Eukaryota; Viridiplantae; Streptophyta; Magnoliopsida; Poales; Poaceae
Description: partial small subunit ribosomal RNA
Source: RNAcentral